RNAcentral lists this unclassified non-coding RNA (353 nucleotides) under soil metagenome. Its description in RNAcentral is "partial contains 5.8S ribosomal RNA, internal transcribed spacer 2, and large subunit ribosomal RNA". The stretch from base 1 to 120 matches the Rfam family "5.8S ribosomal RNA", at positions 35 to 154 of the family's 154-position model. The record is from RNAcentral.
GAUGAAGAACGCAGCGAAAUGCGAUAAGUAAUGUGAAUUGCAGAAUUCAGUGAAUCAACGAAUCUUUGAACGCACAUUGCGCCCGCCAGUAUUCUGGCGGGCAUGCCUGUUCGAGCGUCAUUACAACCCUCAGGCCCCCGGGCCUGGCGUUGGGGAUCGGCGGAAGCCCCCUGCGGGCACAACGCCGUCCCCCAAAUACAGUGGCGGUCCCGCCGCAGCUUCCAUUGCGUAGUAGCUAACACCUCGCAACUGGAGAGCGGCGCGGCCACGCCGUAAAACACCCAACUUCUGAAUGUUGACCUCGAAUCAGGUAGGAAUACCCGCUGAACUUAAGCAUAUCAAUAAGCGGAGGA